RNAcentral lists this ribosomal RNA (398 nucleotides) under uncultured bacterium. RNAcentral describes it as "bacterial SSU rRNA". It matches the Rfam family "Bacterial small subunit ribosomal RNA", at positions 29 to 429 of the family's 1533-position model. The record is from RNAcentral.
AUUGAACGCUGGCGGCAUGCUUUACACAUGCAAGUCGAACGGUAACAGGGUGCUUGCACCGCUGACGAGUGGCGAACGGGUGAGUAAUGCAUCGGAACGUACCCAGUCGUGGGGGGAUAACGUAGCGAAAGUUACGCUAAUACCGCAUACGUCCUGAGGGAGAAAGCGGGGGACCGUAAGGCCUCGCGCGAUUGGAGCGGCCGAUGUCGGAUUAGCUAGUUGGUAGGGUAAAGGCCUACCAAGGCGACGAUCCGUAGCGGGUCUGAGAGGAUGAUCCGCCACACUGGGACUGAGACACGGCCCAGACUCCUACGGGAGGCAGCAGUGGGGAAUUUUGGACAAUGGGCGAAAGCCUGAUCCAGCCAUGCCGCGUGAGUGAAGAAGGCCUCGGUUGUAAG